AUGAUUAAAAAGGAUUAAUUACGGAAAUGAAUUCUAAUCCAAAAUGUUACAAAUAAUUCCCAAAGUUACAUAAUUAUCCAAAGGCUAAUACAUUAUCCAAUACAUUCCAAAAGUCCAAAGUACAUCUUAAAUGACUAAUUUUGAAAAUUAAAAGUAGUUGCAUUGUUCAACAGUGUCAAGACGGAAUUUCCAAAAAAGCCAGCGGCCAAAGUCAUCUCUUGGGCCAAAGCACUCUAAAAAUCCCAACCUCUUCUUAGAACCAACAGACAUCCGCUCCCUUUUCCUCAAUUGAUUUUGUGACCUGCGAAGGAAGUGACAAUCUAAGUUAAAAGCUUUUUCAAUAAGCGCUUAAAAACUGAAGGAUAAUUAACAAAAUGCUCAGGUUAAUGUUUUGCCUAAAAGACUACCACGAACACCCAAGAAUGUGUUUCGUUAACUAGUUCAAACAACAAUGAAACCACAAAACAACAAUCCCAUGAAAUUUGAGGAUAAGAAAAAAGAAACCUAACAAGUUAUCUCAAGACUGAAUAAAUUCAUCAUGAAAAGAACAUAAAUACCCAGAAUAAAGGACAUUGAAGAGGACAGUGAAUCAAGAAACGAAAAAGAAAUCAAAAUAAUCUUUCAUCAACACAACCAUCUAAAGGCGCUCAAAGUUAAAAAAGAACAGAGUAAGACGAAGGGAAUUGGAUUAUUAGAAAGGAACUUAUCUGGAAACGACCGCGGAGAAGACGUCGUCAGCGACCCACUUCCGGUCAAGUACUUCUUCUUUCUCCUUCGCUUUAAAUAUUUGCACCACCUUGUUCGUCUUGAUAAGCCGACAAAAACCCCCAUGUCAAUUGCUUAAAAUCUCCGUCGUUGUGGCUUCAUUUGUAGACUUAGGGUUUUGACUCUGAAUGUUGGUGUAUAUUUUCUUUUGUGUUUGUUUUGGCUUGAGGAGAAGAUUUAUGUGGUUUGGUUUGAAAAGAACUCUGUUUAGAUUUUUGUGUAUGGUUAGGGUUUUCCGAUCCAAGGCUUUAGGUUAACCUUUUGGUGUUUUCGUGAUCGGAUCUGUGAUCGCGAGGUUAGAAUAGGUAGGGUUAGUGUUUGGAAUUUAAGCUCUGAGGUAGAGGUUCGCCGGAGAAGAAGGCGGCGCCGCCGCUGUUGGCCGGCCGCCACCGUCUUCUCCGGUGGGAUUUGGCUGUGGGUUGGGUCGGAAGUUGCAGAGCACAUUGUUGCUCUGGGUUAGAGAGAGAGACGAUUUGUUGCUCAUGUAGGAAUGGUAUUUGCUCACAUUGCUUUAAUUUUUAUUAGUUAUUUAUUUCUAAGUUGUGAUGUUGUGUGUUGGGAAGAGGGAAUGACAAGUGUGUCAUUGGGUAAUGUAAUACAUCUUUAUACUUUCAGUUUUGAUUCCAUGUGCGUUUAAAAUCUAUGGCUACUUUAAUUCUUUUGU
Lathyrus oleraceus (garden pea) is the source of this 1429-nucleotide long non-coding RNA. RefSeq lists it as uncharacterized. The record is from RefSeq and is a predicted model, not a curated record. NCBI's taxonomy places the organism in Eukaryota, Viridiplantae, Streptophyta, Magnoliopsida, Fabales, Fabaceae. The transcript has 2 exons.